AACGGCCAUACCAUGUUGAAUAUACCGGUUCUCGUCAGAUCACCGAAGUCAAGCAUCAUUGGGCGCGGUCAGUACUUGGGUGGGUGGCCACCUGGGAACACCGCGUGCCGUCG
This 113-nucleotide ribosomal RNA is filed under the name Caerostris darwini. The record is from RNAcentral. Lineage: Eukaryota; Metazoa; Arthropoda; Arachnida; Araneae; Araneidae.